Molecule: ribosomal RNA, 243 nt
Filed under: uncultured bacterium
Lineage: Bacteria
Description: partial 16S ribosomal RNA
Rfam family: Bacterial small subunit ribosomal RNA
Source: RNAcentral
AGAUUAGAUACCCUGGUAGUCCACGCCGUAAACGAUGCAUACUAGGUGUUGGCCUUUCGGGGCCAGUGCUGCAGUUAACGCAUUAAGUAUGCCACCUGGGGAGUACGUCGGCAACGAUGAAACUCAAAGGAAUUGACGGGGGCCCGCACAAGCGGUGGAGCAUGUGGCUUAAUUCGAUGCAACGCGAGGAACCUUACCUGGGCUAAAUCCACAGCGCUACCUCUGGAAACAGAGGGUUCCUUC